RNAcentral lists this ribosomal RNA (559 nucleotides) under Colletotrichum gloeosporioides. RNAcentral's name for it is "eukaryotic LSU rRNA". The stretch from base 229 to 382 matches the Rfam family "5.8S ribosomal RNA". Lineage: Eukaryota; Fungi; Ascomycota; Sordariomycetes; Glomerellales; Glomerellaceae. The record is from RNAcentral.
UGGAAGUAAAAAAUCGUAACAAGGUCUCCGUUGGUGAACCAGCGGAGGGAUCAUUACUGAGUUUACGCUCUACAACCCUUUGUGAACAUACCUAUAACUGUUGCUUCGGCGGGUAGGGUCUCCGUGACCCUCCCGGCCUCCCGCCCCCGGGCGGGUCGGCGCCCGCCGGAGGAUAACCAAACUCUGAUUUAACGACGUUUCUUCUGAGUGGUACAAGCAAAUAAUCAAAACUUUUAACAACGGAUCUCUUGGUUCUGGCAUCGAUGAAGAACGCAGCGAAAUGCGAUAAGUAAUGUGAAUUGCAGAAUUCAGUGAAUCAUCGAAUCUUUGAACGCACAUUGCGCCCGCCAGCAUUCUGGCGGGCAUGCCUGUUCGAGCGUCAUUUCAACCCUCAAGCUCUGCUUGGUGUUGGGGCCCUACAGCUGAUGUAGGCCCUCAAAGGUAGUGGCGGACCCUCCCGGAGCCUCCUUUGCGUAGUAACUUUACGUCUCGCACUGGGAUCCGGAGGGACUCUUGCCGUAAAACCCCCAAUUUCCAAAGGUGACCUCGGAUCAGGUAG